RNAcentral lists this ribosomal RNA (746 nucleotides) under uncultured Parvimonas sp. Its description in RNAcentral is "bacterial SSU rRNA". It matches the Rfam family "Bacterial small subunit ribosomal RNA", at positions 28 to 776 of the family's 1533-position model. The record is from RNAcentral. Lineage: Bacteria; Bacillati; Bacillota; Tissierellia; Tissierellales; Peptoniphilaceae.
GAUGAACGCUGGCGGCGUGCUUAACACAUGCAAGUCGAACGUGAUUUUUGUGGAAAGCCCUUCGGGGACGGAAAUGAAAUGAAAGUGGCGAACGGGUGAGUAACACGUGAGCAACCUACCUUACACAGGGGGAUAGCCGUUGGAAACGACGAUUAAUACCGCAUGAGACCACAAAGCCACAUGGCUUAGGGGUAAAAGAUUUAUCGGUGUAAGAUGGGCUCGCGUCUGAUUAGCUAGUUGGAAGGGUAAAGGCCUACCAAGGCAACGAUCAGUAGCCGGUCUGAGAGGAUGAACGGCCACAUUGGAACUGAGACACGGUCCAAACUCCUACGGGAGGCAGCAGUGGGGAAUAUUGCACAAUGGGGGGAACCCUGAUGCAGCGACGCCGCGUGAGCGAAGAAGGUUUUCGAAUCGUAAAGCUCUGUCCUAUGAGAAGAUAAUGACGGUAUCAUAGGAGGAAGCCCCGGCUAAAUAUGUGCCAGCAGCCGCGGUAAUACGUAUGGGGCGAGCGUUGUCCGGAAUUAUUGGGCGUAAAGGGUACGUAGGCGGUUUUUUAAGUCAGGUGUGAAAGCGUGAGGCUUAACCUCAUUAAGCACUUGAAACUGGAAGACUUGAGUGAAGGAGAGGAAAGUGGAAUUCCUAGUGUAGCGGUGAAAUGCGUAGAUAUUAGGAGGAAUACCGGUGGCGAAGGCGACUUUCUGGACUUUUACUGACGCUCAGGUACGAAAGCGUGGGGAGCAAACAGG